This 117-nucleotide ribosomal RNA is filed under the name Deltaproteobacteria bacterium. The record is from RNAcentral. Lineage: Bacteria; Pseudomonadati; Myxococcota; Myxococcia.
GCCGGUGACCCCAGCGGAGGGGCCCUACCCGAUCCCAUUCCGAACUCGGUCGUCAAGCCCUCCAGCGCCGAUGGUACUGCACGGGAGACUGUGUGGGAGAGCAGGUCGUCGCCGGCA